UCUGCUGCCUCUGUGAGUCUAUAAUCUCUUCUUCUAAUUUCUCUUCUCUCUGCAGCUUUCGCUAUUGAUAAAACUCCCUCCGUUGCUGAAGGUGAAGUUGGAGUUGUGUUGUGGUAGUUUUGGUGUGGGAAAUGGCUGCAGUUAUGAAUGAAACAGCAGGAGUGGGAAGGUCUUUGGAAGGAGUAUCUAGUGCUCAGCAGCUUUAUCAGUCUGGUGAAGCACUUGCAGAAUGGAGGUCUUCUGAGCAGGUGGAGAAUGGAAUUCCCUCAACAUCACCACCUUAUUGGGACAGUGAUGAUGAUGAAGACAACGGUGGACCCAAGCCUUCUGAACUAUAUGGAAAAUAUACAUGGAAGAUUGAUAAGUUUUCACAAAUUAACAAGAGAGAACUUCGGAGUAAUGCAUUUGAGGUUGGCAGCUAUAAAUGGUAUAUUUUAAUUUACCCCCAGGGGUGUGAUGUCUGCAAUCAUCUCUCUCUGUUUCUUUGUGUGGCUAAUCAUGACAAGCUUCUUCCAGGAUGGAGUCAUUUUGCACAAUUCACGAUAGCAGUGGUGAAUAAAGAUCCUAAGAAGUCCAAAUAUUCAGAUACCUUACAUCGCUUCUGGAAGAAAGAACACGAUUGGGGCUGGAAAAAAUUUAUGGAACUGUCAAAAGUUCUGGAUGGAUUUAUUGAUGCUGACACAUUGAUAAUUAAAGCUCAAGUCCAAGUUAUAAGGGAGAGAGCUGAUCGUCCCUUUCGUUGUCUUGACCGUCACUACCGGCGAGAACUUGUUAGGGUCUAUUUAACUAAUGUGGAGCAAAUCUGCCGCCGUUUUGUAGAAGAACGACGAAGCAAACUUGGAAAAUUGAUAGAGGAUAAAGCUAGAUGGUCAGGUUUCUGUGCUUUCUGGCUGGGGAUGGACCAAAGUUCCAGACGUCGCAUGUCAAAGGAGAAAAUGGAUGCAAUAUUGAAAGUUGUUGUAAAGCACUUCUUUGUAGAAAAAGAAGUCACAUCUACUUUGGUAAUGGACUCCUUGUACAGUGGGCUCAGGGCCCUAGAGGGUCAGUAUAAGGGCAAGAAAGGUAAGGGCAAACAUAUAGAUUCAGAGGAACAACCAGCGCCUAUAGUACGUAUGGAAAAAGACAUGUUUAUCUUGGUGGAUGAUGUGCUUUUAUUACUUGAGAGGGCUUCCCUGGAGCCACUGCCUCCUAAGGAUGAGAAAGGUCCUCAGAACCGUACCAAGGAUGGAGCUUCUGGAGAGGAUUUCAACAAAGACUCCAUCGAGCGUGAUGAAAGACGCCUUACUGAACUGGGUCGUAGGACCAUUGAAAUAUUUGUCCUGGCACAUAUUUUCAGUAAAAUAGAGAUUUCUUAUCAAGAAGCUGUUGCUUUAAAAAGGCAAGAGGAACUCAUUCGUGAGGAGGAGGCGGCGGCAUGGAUGGCUGAGACUGAGCUCAAAACAAAACGUGGAGCAUCUGAAAAGGAGAAAAAAUCAAAGAAAAAGCAGGGCAAACAGAAACGCAACAAUCGCAAAGUAAAGGAUAAACUGAGGGAUGAAAAGCCUGGUGUCUUGUGGCAAGACAAGACUGAAGAGGAGCCAUUAAAUGGUGAGGGGAAGGACUACUUCACUGAGGAGCCAGAAAGUAUACCUGAAAAACCUGAUAUAUUAGAAGAAGUUUCAGACAUCUCUGAUUCAGUCGACUGUGUUCCUGAAGUACUUAAUCGUGAAUCAGAAGACAGAGAUGUGAGCCCUGUCAAUUGGGAUACUGACACGUUAGAAAAUCCUCCCGUAGAAAGCAGCUGCAGUGAAUUAAGUGGCUUUGCAUCUGCGCAGAAUGGAGUGGCUGGGAGGAGAAGCCUUUCUGCAAUGGAUGAUAGUUCAUCAACCUGCUCAACAGACUCAACUCCCUCAGUUAUGAAUGGGCAUUAUGGAGGAAAUGCUUCAGAUCAUAAAAACCAAAUAUCACCCGGCAGAGAGAAGAACCAUCGAGCCAAAUCAGCUUGUAAUACAGCUAGGGCGAAUGAAAUGCAAAGUCGGCAAUUAGACAGUGUUUCUAAUGUAGCCAUACUGAGUGAUACAAGUGGGAGUUGCAAGGCAAUACCUGAAUCUCAGGCUACUUUUCUUUCCUCACCUGAGCAGCAUGUUGUGAAGAAGGAAAAAGUCAUUUCUCAGGAAAGAAAGCUCGAUAGAACUGAUGUGGAGGGACCCUCAAUGUACAAGACAAGUGUGCUGUCUCCUCCCAGGAGUCCUCCCAAGGAAGUCGCGUCAACACUUCAGUCAAAGUCAAAGAUCCUGCCUUCUACUGUUUCUGUUACAGUCAAAAACCCAUCUCCAGAUAUCCCCAAGCUGACCGAUAAAUUAGCCAAAUCAGCAAUGCACCCGGAAAGUGUAGUAGCAAAGACAGAUAGUAAUAGAUCUCUUGAUGCACAAGUUAUCAAAAAAUCUUCUUCUACUCAGCAAGUUCCUAUUGCAGCAGAUGGGCCCUCAGCACAUCAAGUUCCUACUACCACCAGUGACUUGUCCUGUUCACAAAUGCCUGCCACCUCAAGGUCCUUGAGUGCUCCAAUAGUUACUGGACCUAGGCCAACUGCUCCUGUUGUCUCCAAUGUUCAGACAUCACUGCAUCUGACACGUUCAGUGAGUGCAACUGGUCGCUUAGGUCCUGACCCUUCACCAGCAACACACAGUUAUCUUCCUCAAUCCUAUCGAAAUGCAAUGAUGGGUUCUCCAGUAACUGGUAGUUUGGGUGGUUUUAGUCAACCUCAUUCCCCUAGUUCAACAAACUCCUCGCACUCGUACUCUGAACCACCUGCUAUGAUUUCCAGGCCAGUGUUCCUGCCACAGGGGCCAAAAAGAACAGAACCAAGCUCAAUUAGACCAAGCUUUUCAUAUGAAAUGGUGAAUCAUGAUUUGUUGCAGAAUGGAUCCCAGUGGAUGGAGUGCUCACAAAGGGAUGGUAGGAGUGCAACCCAUGAUGGUCCUUCUGUAAUAGAUAGCAUUCGGAAUUUUGACAUGUACAAGCCGUCAAACAGUCAAACCCAUGAUAUUUCAGCUCAGUCGCUAGCAUGCACAUCUGGACGUCCGUCCCAGAGUGUACUGGCAGAUGAAUUUCCUCAUCUUGACAUUAUUAAUGACCUGCUGGAUGAUGAUCUUGGAAUUGGGAUGGCUUCUGGACUGGAUCCAAGCUUUCAAAGUUUUAGCAAUGGUCCUCACCAUCAUCUAGCUCGGCAUUUCACCUUCCCAGGUGAUGUUGGUUCAGCUGACCUAGGUCCAUCUACUAGCUCUUGUAGGUUAGAGCGGACACUGAGCUAUCAUGAUAAUGGGUUCCUACAUAGGUAUCCAGGGGGAGGCCAUUUUGAUACUGGUAGAGAUAUGAUAGCGCAGCCUAGUCCACAAAGUUAUGUGAAUGGGCAGAUGGAUGGAAUAAUUCCUAGCCAAUGGCAGAUGGUUGCUUCUGAUGCAUCUUACCUUGGAAUGAGGAGUGCUGAUAGUGAUGUUGGCUACCCGUAUCAUGUCCCUGAUUAUUCAAACAUGGCAUGUGGUUUCAAUGGUUAUACAAUGUUCCGGCCUUCAAAUGGGCUCUGAAGGAGGGUGGGUCUUAUGCAGCUUUGCCUAGGAAUGAAUAUAUGGGCUGGUGUCCCCAUUGUGAUAAAAGAAUGCUUUGGUCUUAGAUUUGGAGUGAAGUGUCACCCUAAAAAGGGGUGUGAGUUAUAUUGAAGAUGAUGGUAUGGUUUACUAAUGCAUGAGUAAUGUGAAACUUGAUAAGGAAAAGUGGAGAUAUGACAGCCUGUAAACGUAGCCUUAAUGAUUUGCAGUACACGUUGAAUUCAUGCUCCACACUACUCUUCCAUUGUUUCAACGGUUGCAGAAUCAACAAGUAAAGAAGAAGAAGAUAGGAAAUGGUGACCUCCCUUUGUGUAUUAUAUUAAAUUAAGUCCAAGAAAUGGCAAAACAGUAUGCCAGAACAAAAAGUGAAAGUCUAAUUGCUGUUCAAUGCUUACAGGGCACUCUCGCAUUGCACAUUAUUCCCUCACUCAAAUAAGUCUGUUGCUUUAUGUA
This is an RNA transcript of Ipomoea nil (Japanese morning glory), 4040 nucleotides long. It is a transcript of the gene named MATH domain-containing protein At5g43560-like, with no coding region annotated. NCBI's taxonomy places the organism in Eukaryota, Viridiplantae, Streptophyta, Magnoliopsida, Solanales, Convolvulaceae. The record is from RefSeq and is a predicted model, not a curated record. The transcript is spliced from 15 exons.